CCUACGGGUGGCAGCAGUGGGGAAUAUUGGACAAUGGGCGAAAGCCUGAUCCAGCCAUGCCGCGUGUGUGAAGAAGGCCUUCGGGUUGUAAAGCACUUUCAGUGGGGAAGAAAGCCUUGGGGCUAAUACCCUCGAGGAAGGACAUCACCCACAGAAGAAGCACCGGCUAACUCCGUGCCAGCAGCCGCGGUAAUACGGAGGGUGCGAGCGUUAAUCGGAAUUACUGGGCGUAAAGCGCGCGUAGGCGGUCUGAUAAGCCGGUUGUGAAAGCCCCGGGCUCAACCUGGGAACGGCAUCCGGAACUGUCAGGCUAGAGUGCAGGAGAGGAAGGUAGAAUUCCCGGUGUAGCGGUGAAAUGCGUAGAGAUCGGGAGGAAUACCAGAGGCGAAGGCGGCCUUCUGGACUGACACUGACGCUGAGGUGCGAAAGCGUGGGUAGCAAACAGGAUUAGAUACCCCUGUAGUC
Molecule: ribosomal RNA, 465 nt
Filed under: Vreelandella stevensii
Lineage: Bacteria; Pseudomonadati; Pseudomonadota; Gammaproteobacteria; Oceanospirillales; Halomonadaceae
Description: partial 16S ribosomal RNA
Rfam family: Bacterial small subunit ribosomal RNA
Source: RNAcentral